This 253-nucleotide ribosomal RNA is filed under the name uncultured bacterium. RNAcentral's name for it is "partial 16S ribosomal RNA". It matches the Rfam family "Bacterial small subunit ribosomal RNA", at positions 524 to 776 of the family's 1533-position model. The record is from RNAcentral.
UACGUAGGCAGCAAGCGUUGUUCGGAAUUAUUGGGCGUAAAGAGUGUGUAGGCGGUGCUCUAAGUUCGGUGUGAAAUCUCCUGGCUCAACUGGGAGGGUGCGCCGGAAACUGGGGUGCUGGAGCGCGGGAGAGGAAAGCGGAAUUCCUGGUGUAGCGGUGAAAUGCGUAGAUAUCAGGAGGAACACCGGCGGUGUAGACGGCUUUCUGGACCGUAGCUGACGCUGAGACACGAAAGCGUGGGUAGCAAACAGG